Molecule: ribosomal RNA, 490 nt
Filed under: Bacillus sp. enrichment culture clone A2c
Lineage: Bacteria; Bacillati; Bacillota; Bacilli; Caryophanales; Bacillaceae
Description: bacterial SSU rRNA
Rfam family: Bacterial small subunit ribosomal RNA
Source: RNAcentral
CCCCCAUCGAGCGAAUCGANGGGAGCUUGCUCCCUGAGAUUAGCGGCGGACGGGUGAGUAACACGUGGGCAACCUGCCUAUAAGACUGGGAUAACUUCGGGAAACCGGAGCUAAUACCGGAUACGUUCUUUUCUCGCAUGAGAGAAGAUGGAAAGACGGUUUACGCUGUCACUUAUAGAUGGGCCCGCGGCGCAUUAGCUAGUUGGUGAGGUAAUGGCUCACCAAGGCGACGAUGCGUAGCCGACCUGAGAGGGUGAUCGGCCACACUGGGACUGAGACACGGCCCAGACUCCUACGGGAGGCAGCAGUAGGGAAUCUUCCGCAAUGGACGAAAGUCUGACGGAGCAACGCCGCGUGAACGAAGAAGGCCUUCGGGUCGUAAAGUUCUGUUGUUAGGGAAGAACAAGUACCAGAGUAACUGCUGGUACCUUGACGGUACCUAACCAGAAAGCCACGGCUAACUACGGCCAGCAGCCGCGGAAACGAGGGC